RNAcentral lists this long non-coding RNA (3403 nucleotides) under Strigops habroptila (Kakapo). Its description in RNAcentral is "lncRNA (ENSSHBG00005020100.1)". The record is from RNAcentral. Lineage: Eukaryota; Metazoa; Chordata; Aves; Psittaciformes; Psittacidae.
UGGGAGAAGUAUAGAAAACUCUUUAUAAUGGUAAUUUAGUUAGUUUUGUCUUCUCGGUAUGCAGAUGUGCUGUAUCAGACAAAAUUUGGUGGAGGCAGAAGGAAGGCCCUGUGAUCUGCUCAUUUGCUGGUUGAACAUAAAUUAUACAUUACUAAAGUCUAGUAGAAUAAAGUAUUUUUGAAGUAAACAGUACAAAUAUGAAUUUCUAAUUACUUUGAUAAUGUAACUUGAUGUACAGAAAUUGUAGUUAAGUAUCUGAUUUCCCAUUUAGAUUCAUUCAAUUACAUGUGCAUUUCAACUUGUUCCUUGAUGAACCCAUUCCAAUCAUUUUGAAGUCGGCAACCAAAGAAUAUUUUAGAAUGUAUUUCUUUUAAGUCUCAUGCAUAUUAUCUUGCUAUUCUUAUAUCAUUGUCUUGUAUCAGAUCAGAUAGUUUUCUGGGAGGGAAGCAAGUGAAAAAACAUGAAAGUAGUUCCUGUAUUGAAAAACAGCAUCCAGUCAGUGUUCUGCAGUAAACUCUCCAGCUCUAGGUAGAACCCAAUACAUACCACCCUUAUAACAACAGAGGCUGCAUGUCUUCAGGAUUUAUUUCAGGUGAUAACUAAAAUAAAAAAGAAAGUGAAGCAGUAAUCUAUCAGCAAAGGUUCAUCUCUGAAAGCACUGCAGUAUAGACAUCUACUGUCUUUACUAUUUUACUAAUCCAUCGAUAAAUGUAGAGAUUAAGUAUGUGUAUGUUACAUAAAAAAUUGGGAAACCAGAUUUUAAUAAGUAAAAAAGGUGAUAACCCAGUCAAUUGUGCAGCUUUUAUCUAAUUAUUAGGGGUUUUUUAAGUUUUGUGAAGUUGCUCUGAAUUUGAAUAGGAACUAAAAUAGACUUCACUCAGAUUCUUCAGCUGGCUUAAAAGUCAACUGAUAAAAUUAUUCAGGGAUGGUUAGUCCAUUUUAAAUUCAUAUUUCGCAUGAAAACUUUGUGCAAAGACAAGCCAUUUGAAAACAUAAACAAUUAUAUGGGCAAUGUUGAUGUUGUGCUCUACUUUGAAAUACAAAGUUUUACUGACCAAAUAAUUAGUGGUAUUAUAUUUCACCUAGUGUGAUUUCCUUAGUUUCAUUUGGAUGCAAGAUGUUCUUUGUUUUUUGUCUUAACUUGUCACCUAACAUUCGUAAGUCUUGUUAAUCAGAAUCAUGAAACUGUUUAAGUUGGAAGGAAUCUCUUCGGAGCAUCUGUUCCACCCGCUCCUAGAGUGGGUUGCUCAGGAUGGUGUCCAGUCAGGUUUGAGUAUUCCCGUGGCUGGAGAUUGCAUUCCCCCAGGGCAACCUGUGCCAGUGUGGGAAGAUUCUCAUGGUGAAAGUCAGCCUCUGUUGAGAUUUUGCUUGUCUUCUGUUCUAUUCUGUUGGGUAUUAUCUCUUUUGGAGACCACCUUAGCAGGCAUUCUGGGUAGAAAUGUUAUGUAAACGUCUUAGAAAAAGACAUUAAUAAGAGGGUGUUAUCUUUUAAUCCAGCAACUGGGUGAAAUUGCCCAAGUUUGUUCUUUUUCUUCUGAGUACCACAUUUGCAAAUACAGAAACUGCAUUUCUGAAACAGGCUUCCUAACUGAAAUAGUUAAGCUGAAAAAGUUUAAUAGUGUACAAACUAAAGGAUUAGCUUUAAGUAUUUUUUCCGUAUUAUCCUUUUCAUGUGGGUAAUAUUUUUUCCAAAGGAAAAAACCCAUUUAUUGGCGAUGGAGGCUGAAAGUUUUAAUUUGUUGUAGGGAUCACUAAACAAAGUUAUAGAAAUAGAGAUGUAUACAUCCAACAGGCAUAUAUAUAACUGGCAUCCUAAUAAAAUAUGGCAAGUUUCUUUUUGACUUAGCCACACCUCAUUGGAUUAUUACUUUCACUGUCAUAUAAACUGCACUUCUGAAACAAAGUCUCUUCACUGGGAACUGGAGGCAGUUGAUCAUGUGGAGCCCACUGACUAAAUAUAUGGCAGUCUUCUCUGGCUAAUGAAGCUCCUGAGUUUUAGUGGAAGUAUUGUUCAUGCUAGCUUUGCUCUUGCCACAGGUAUUCCAGGCAUCUGCUUUUGGUCAUUGUCUUUUUUCUGCAGCAGGAUCCUGGAGUAUCUGACCUUUGUUCUCAUCUGGGGGAGUGGCCUUUAUGUUCAAAACGAGGUUCUUUUUCUUCUUAAGGUAACACUUCCCACCAAUUAAGGGUUCCUAAAAAGCCAAAAAAGAUAUUUUGAGUAUUUCCUUCCCCACCUCCCUACCCCCCAUUUCUAAAGCUAAGGUUCUUCUGGUGAGUUUUAAUAUUGGCAUCUUAGGUUUGCAGUAUUAGGUGUUUUCUUCAAUAGUCCUAAAGACAUUGUGGGAGCUUGAAUCAUAGUAAGCGAGAUCUUGGAGGAGGGCCUGUUGAAAGCAUGACAGUUUUUUUGCAGCCACUCUGUGAAACUGUUGCUUUCUUGUAAUUCUGUGAUGGAAUUCGCAAAAAUGAGAAAGUCGAAUUAAGAAAAUAGUCCAAAGUCCCCAAAUGGUCUGCUGAGAAGACUUGUAUAAAGCUGAGAAAGUAAAAAAUAAACCCAAGUUAUGUUUGCCUCUGUAUUAUGCUAUUUUGGGAAAAUUAUUGUUGCGUCUGUAGUAGAGCAUUGUACAAUUAUUUUGAUAGCCACUUAAAAAAUAACUUUUAAUUUCAGUGUUCCUCUUCUGAUGAUUUUUCUUGAGAAUUACUGAAAUAAUUGAGUAAUUUUUCUGAAAACACCUGCAAAGUAAACUUGUGGGGUUGUUUUUUUGUUUUUUGUUUUGGGUUUUUUUUUUUUGUUUCCUUUGGGACCUUGUUGUUCCAUUUGUGUGACUGGCUUGACACUGUUGGAGAGCAGUGGAAAGGCAAAGGUCAAACAAAGUUAUGACACAGCUGCACUCUGUUACUUGCUUUAACUGCUGCAUUCUAUUUUAGGGUUUUAUGCUGUUGCCUACCACCUUAAUAUCUCAAGACCUUUCCAUGGAAAAUCUUCAACACCUAUGUUCGUAUUGCUCCCAGGAGUUUUUGGCUUUGCUUGGUGUUUAAAAGAUCUGGCAUGUGUUUUACCUUUGUCUUGUUUUCUUCUGUGAUUCUACACUUUGGGGGAGGGGGAGGGCAGAUGGAGGUGGUGUUUUUGCAAGCGUAGUUGCUCCUGACAAAGGAAAUCAGAAUAGUUUGUGUCUACUUUUUUUUUUUGUAAGGAGAACGAUUUACUAUAUCUCUGGAAGUUCAUUCUGUGAGUAGAAUUUCUGGGCCAAGAGUGUUUUUCUUUAGGUUUCGUGCACUUUUUCUUUAAUCUUGUGCAUUUUUUAAAAUCACCUGGUGACUCUGUAUUUUAAGAAUUGAUUUAUAGCAUAUUCUGUGGUUGGUUUCUUGCAGUCCCUUUUUUGGUGGAAGAUUUUCAUUUGGUACAAAA